Molecule: ribosomal RNA, 253 nt
Filed under: uncultured bacterium
Lineage: Bacteria
Description: partial 16S ribosomal RNA
Rfam family: Bacterial small subunit ribosomal RNA
Source: RNAcentral
UACGUAGGGUGCGAGCGUUGUCCGGAAUUAUUGGGCGUAAAGAGCUCGUAGGCGGCUUGUCACGUCGGAUGUGAAAGCCCGGGGCUUAACUCCGGGACUGCAUUCGAUACGGGCAGGCUAGAGUUCGGUAGGGGAGAGUGGAAUUCCUGGUGUAGCGGUGAAAUGCGCAGAUAUCAGGAGGAACACCGGUGGCGAAGGCGGGUCUCUGGGCAGUAACUGACGCUGAGGAGCGAAAGCGUGGGGAGCGAACAGG